UUAUAUCUUAAUUAAAAACUAACCCUAGUCAAAAAGACCCUUGAGCCGUUUCUAUCAUCUUAAAAACCUUACACACCUUAAGCUUCCUCUUCAUCACAAAAAACACCAUAGUAGCAACUCCUUCUCCAAAAAAACCAUCAGCCGCAACACACAAAGACCUAGAUAUAGCCACCUCCCCUAAUUCAUAUACACAUCUACCGCACCCCUACUUCGUUGGACCACGCCGAUGACCACUCUUAAACCCCCCAUAUCGAUCAGAUCUGGAUGAUUUGACAUGAAAGCUCCAUGUUUGGCCGAACUCCAACGAUCUCUCCUUGUUCUAUGCCGCAGCUACCUCAUUUAUUCGCACCGCUGCUUGUCGCUGUGGAAAUAGCGGUGUGUGUGUUCGAUUUUCUGAUUUUUGCCAGAAUUUCAGAUCCGGUUGUUUUUUUUUACUUUCCGGCGAGUUUCGAGGUAGAAGAGUCGAGGUCUGUCUGUGUUUCAUCGACUUUCGGCAAGUUCCGAAGUCGAAGUUCCAUUGGUCUUGGUCGCGUUUCCAUCAGACUCUGGAGCUGCAAAUCAGCUAAGCUCAGAUUCAUUUCUGGAGAGGCUUGUUUUUUGUUUGUUUUGGUUCUACUGUAAUCAGGUAUUACUUUUGACUGGAAUGAUGCAAAUAUUAUGUUCCGUUGAAUGAAGAUUAUACGAGCUCACCUCUAUUUAAAUUUGUUUCAAAUUCUAGAGUUGUGUAAAUGUUUACCUUGUUUAAAUGCUAUAUUGCUAUUUGAAAUGUCUAUUCAUGGUGUAAGAUGCCUAUCAAGAAUUUUAUUUAUUAAAUUAUUGUCAAGAUGAAAAGGAAUCACGUUGGCAGUUGGUAAAAAAGUUGUAUCACUUUGCUUGGACAUUAUGUGUAAAUUAUGUCAGUAAUGAUUCUACCAAAUGAAGGUUUAGGCUCAUGAGGAUCUGAUUUGUUAAGUUGGUUUUCCUUGAUUAAAGCAUCAAUCUAUUGUAGUUAGUUCGACCUGAAGUAAUUGAGUUAGCAUGUAGUUGAAGAAAGAGUGUUAGUUCAUAAAAUUGCUUGUUAAUUGUAAGCAGAUUUCGAAUGUCAGUCUUUAUAAAUAAUUCUGUAUUGUGUUGAAAUUUGAAAAUCAUAUGUGUUUGCCAUAUAACUCGUUAGUUCCAUGUUGUGCUGGGCGAUUGGAGUUCGGAAGAAAAUCUAAUGAAUGCUUUGAAAAUUAUUGGGCCUGUUAAUAGGCCCAAACAAGGUUUUUGUUACCAUCGACUUCAUGCCUUUAUUGUCGUACCCAAGUAUGGGUUCAAACAUAUUUCAAGAGUUUAAAUUGUUACUGUCAAAAUUUUAUAUUUUAUUUCUCUAAAUACAAUUUUGCUCACAGAUGAUUCCACAAUAAAUCAUUUCAUAACUUUGGCCUCGCAAUAAUCUCAAAUUAGUUUAAUAAGAAAAAUAAUAUCCAUAAACAUCGUAGCUUCCUUUAGAUGCUAUUAAUAAAUCAGCGUGACUGUGGGUACGGUUCUUGUGACAUGGUUAUGAUACGUAAUUCCCAAAGUCGGGUGCAUAUUUCAUGUGACCUGACCCCAACUUCGAAUAUUAAUAAAAUACAUGUGUUGCAGAUUGUGGGUACGGUUCCCGUGACACGAUUCGCAACAUGUACAAAAACAAACAAGUGUACGACAAUCGUAACUUAUUCCAGAAAUAAAUCCAUAAAUAAUUAAAAGCGGUUGAAAAGCUAAAAGUGCACAAUAAUUAUAAAAUAUGUAAUUAAUCAGAUAAUUAGGCCAAUUAAUAAUAGUUGAAUGACCGUGCUAAAACCACAGAACCCGGGAAUGUCUAACACCUUCUCCCAGGUUAACAUAAUUCCUUACCUGAAUUUUUGUGUUUCGCGGACUGUAAAACAGAGUCAAACUUUUUCGAUUCGGGAUUUUAAACCGGUGACUUGCGACACCAUAAAUUAUCCCAAGUGGUGACUCUGAAUUUGAAUAAAUAAUCCUAUUUCGGUUUUGUCACUUUAAUUGGAAAAACUCCCCUAUACCCUUUCGGGUAGAAAAAGGAGGUGUGACAGCUCUGGUGUGAUGACCCGGCCAGUCGUCUUAAGAAUUUACGCCUCGAUCCCCUAUUAACUGCCUUCCCCGAGUUUAUUUCUACUAUUUUGAUUUACCGGGAUAUACGGUUUUGAAUUUCGGAGAGUUUUGGGACACUUAGUCUCUAAAUGAGAGUUUAAGUAUUGGAAAUUUGACCGUAGUCAGAACACUGUGAAGAUGGCCUCAGAAUGAAAAUCUGAUAGUUCCGUUAGCUCCAUUUGGUGAAUUCAGGCAUAGGGGCUUGUUCGGAUUGUGUUUUGGAAGUCCGUAGCUAAUUUAGGCUUGAAAUGCCGAAAGUUGAAUUUUUGAAGUUUCCGGUCUGAUAGUAAGAUUUUUAUCCAAGGGUCGGGAUGAAAUUCCGGAAGUUGGAGUAGCUCCGUAGUGUUGAAUGUGACGUUUGUGCAAAAUUUCAGGUCUUUCGGACGAGGUCUACUAGACUUUUUUAUAGAAUGCAUAUUUUGAGAAAAUUUGGAGUUCUUAGGCUUAAAUCCUUGGUUAAUUAGAGGUUUUGAUAUUGGUACAAGUUUGGAUGGUUUUUUGUGACUUGUUGGUGUCUUUGGUUUAGGUCUCGGAGGCCUCGGGAUGAAUUUGAAUGGUUGACGGAAAGAUUUUGGAUUUUAAGUUGCAGCUUCAGCUGCUGGUGCUAUCAUAGCCACACCUGCGGUUUGGGUUCCGCAGGUGCGACACCGUAGAUGCGGCUCAGCGAACGUGGGGGCGGAGUUGUGGAGUAGCAGUAGGUUCCGCAGAUGCGGGUAGUUAACCACAGAAGCAGUACCGCACAUGUGGAUAGUAAAUCGAAGGUGCGGCAGUUAGACCGUAAGUGUAAGUCAUAGAUGUGACCAAUUAUUCCGCACAUGCGGGACCGUAGAAGCAGUCCCAAAGCCACAGAUGCGUAAACUGCUGGGUAGAUUAUUUUAAAAGGGGUUCCGCGACUUUGGGGUUUAUUUCAACAUUUGUAUCACUGCUUGGGAGCUUUUCGAACAAUUUGAAAGAGGGAUUUUAAGGGAACUUCAUUGAGGUAAGGAAUUUGGAGCUAAAACUUGUUCCUAUGAUAUUAUUUCACGGAUUAAAGCUAGAAAUCAUGGAAAUUAAGGGUGAAAAAUUGGGGAAACUAGGGCUUAGUAUUGGAGAACUUUGAGUAAUGAUUUGAGGGACCAUUUGAGGUCCGAUUUUGGUAACUUUGGUAUGCAUGAACUCGUGAGAGUGUGUGGUUUCUUAAAAUAUAAAUUUUACCCGAUUCCGAGACGUGGGCCCAAGGGGCAUUUUGGUCAUUUUACAUAAUUUCACAUAUUAGCUUAGAAUUUCUUUGUAGAAUCCGUUACUUGAAGUGUUAUUUACAUUAUGCAAUUGAAUUGAAUAGAUUUGGGCCAUUUGGAGUUGAGUACUCGUGGCAAGAGCGUGGGUUUGGAUUGAUUAUUGAGCCGUUUCGAGGUAAGUGGCUUGUCUAACCCUGUGUGGGGGACCUUCCCCUUAGGAUUCAGUAUAUUUGAUAUUUGAAACACCUUGUGCAUGAGGUGACGAGUUUGUACUUGAAGCUAAUCUUUAAAAAUCCGAUUUUCUUUACGUAAUUUCAAUUGUGUUCCUUUUCUUGUUUCAUUUUACAUGCAAUUUAAACCUGUUGUUAGCUUAGAAAGAGUAUGCCUAAUUGACUUAACUAUUUAUUUGCUUAACCUGCCUUAAUUGCAUUACAUGAAGCAUGUUAGGCUAGAAUCAAAUGUUUACUUGGUAUGGAAUUGUCUUUAAAUUGAGUAUUCUUGUGUUGCUUCUGUGUAUUUUUAAAUUGGGACUACGAGACGGCAGCUCGGGAGAUCCCCUGUAUGAAAUUAUGAUCUCGACUGAGGUGCGGGAUACCAAGAGAUCCCUGGCAAGUAUAUUGAGGAUACCAAGAGAUCCCUAACAUAUAUUGAGGAUACCAAGAGAUCCUCGGGAUACCAAGAGAUCCCUUGUAUACAUAGAGGAUACCCAGAGAUCCCCCGGUUAUCCUCCUUGUUAUGAGUGGUAUUUCCUCGCAUUUUGUCUUAAUCUUUAUUUUUGUUAUUGUACUCUUAUUAUCUUGUACAGAUUCUUGCUGUAGAUUCUUAAUUGUAAUGCUUAUCUUAUCCUGUCAUCUUAGUAUUUAUUUCAUUAAUCUCAGUAGGGCCCUGACAUUCCUAGUCACUACCCCACUGAGGUUAGAUUUGACACUUACUUAGUACUGUUGUGGAGUACUCAUGCCCCUUCUGCCCAUGUUUUUCAUGUGCAGAUCUAGGUACUGCUACUCAGGCCUACCAUCUUUGAGGGAGGCGACUGCUUAGAGACUUCCAGGUACAUCUGUCGUGCCCGCAGACCGAGAAGUCCCUUUCUAUUCCUGCUUUUAGUAUUUAGCCUUUUUGUAUUUCCCCUCUUAUUAGACAUUCUGGAGUUAGAGUUAUGUAAUAUUUUUCUUAGCUUGUGAUUCGUGAGUUUCCGGGUCUUGGAUCUAUGUAUUGGUAUUGAGAGUUAAACAUGGUGUAUAUCGAGCAACACCUUUAAAACAUUGUUAUUACUUUAGUUCUGUUUUAAACUAUUUUACUUCCACAAAUUUGGUUUUUCUUCCGCAACUUAGGCUUACCUAGUCGUAGAUACUAGGUGUCAUCAUGAUGGUUCACAGAGGGCGAACCGGGGUCAUGACAAGUUGAUAUUAUAUCUCUAGGUUCACAGGAGUCAUGGAUCACAAGCCGAUUUAUUAGAGUCCCGCUGAUCGGUACGGAGACGUUUGUACUUAUCUACGAGAGACUAUGUAAGUGUUAGGAAAAUUUCCACUUCAUUUGAUUUCCUUGUCGUGCGAUAUUUUGACAUCACAAUUCUAAACUUCUAUAUUCUAUUCUCUCACAGAUGGUAAGGACACGUGCUACCUAAGAUGAUCAGGCACCCGCGCCCCUACUGUAGCCGUUAGAGGCUGCAACCAGGGUAGAGGACACGGGCGGGGUAGAGGCCGAGGAUGCGCACGUGGUGCAGAAAGAGCACCUGCGCGAGCUACCACCAAGGUACCACCAGUAGUUCUAGCCGGAGUCCAGGCACCUGACACGCCUACUGCUACUACUACUCCAGCUUUUCAGGAGACUGACACAGUUCAUGAGCAUGUACACCAUUUUGGCUCAGGCAGGGUUGCAUCCCCUUACUGCAGCUGCAUCUCAGGAAGGGGGAGGAGCACAGACUCCCGCCACCCGCACUCCUGAGCAGCGAGUGCAUGUUGAGCAGGUCCCUGAGAUUAUUCCUGUACCGCCUACAGUGCCAGUUCAGCCUGAGGUCAGGGUAGCAGNNNNNNNNNNNNNNNNNNNNNNNUUAUUCAGUGGUCUAGAAUAGGAGGAUGCUCUGGGAUUUCUAGAUGAGUGUUACCGCAUUCUCCACACCAUGUGUAUAAUAGGAUCGAGCGGGCUUUCCCUCACUACCUUCCAGCUUCGAGGAGCUGCCUAUGAGUUAGACAGUCCAGAUGAGGCUGCUUCACUGACUUGAACUCAGUUUUCAUAUCUGUUCCUGAGGGAGUAUGUUCCUCAAAGCCUCAGGGACGCAUGGCGCAUAGAGUUUGAGCAUUUGUACCAGGGUACUAUGACUAUCUCAGAGUAUGCUGUCUGUUACACCAGUUUGGCUAGGCAUGCACCAACCUUGGUUUCUACUGUUCGCUAGAUGGUUCGUCGGUUUAUUGAGGGCCUUAUUCCCAACAUCAAGUCUAGCAUGGCUCGUGAGUUGGAGAUGAAUAUUUCUUAUCAGCAGGUGGUGAGCAUUGCUAGGAGGAUUAAGGGUAUGCAUGCUAGGGAGAGGGAGGACAAGAGGUCUCGAGAGUCGAGCCAUUUCUCUGGCGCCCGUGCCCCAACUGUAGGUCGUCAUGGUAUGGGUUAUAUGAGUCGCCCUGUUCAUUUAGCUCUUCCAGCAGCCAGUGGUAUUCUAGCUUCUCCUAGGCCUCAGGAGCCUUAUUAUGCACCUCUAAUUUCUAACGCGCCUCCUGCGCGGGGUGUUUUCAGGGUUCAGUCCAGCAAACCUGGCCCGAGACAGUCAUAGCCGCCACAUCCUCCUAGAGCUUGUUUUGAGUGUGGUGACACACGCCACGUGGUGAGGGAUUGCCCUAGACUUGGGAGGAGUGCACCACCACAGACUUCUUAGCCACAACAUGCCCUAGAGAGUUUUCAGGCUAUGGUUAUUGCUUCAGUUGCUACCCCACCUACUCAACCAGCCAGAGGUGGAGGUCGGGGAGGUAAAUGUCACCCUAGAGAGGGAGGCCAAGCCCGAUACUAUGCCCUUCCUACCCGUACUGAGGCUGUUGCCUCCGAUUCUGUCAUCAUAUGUAUUAUACUGGUUUGUCACAAAGAUGCAUCGGUUCUAUUCGAUCCAGCCUCCACUUAUUCUUAUGUGUCUUCUUAUUUUUCUCUACAUUUGGGUGUAUCUCGGGAUUCUUUAAGUUCCCAUGUUUAUGUUUCUACUCCUAUGGGAGAUUCUCUUAUUGUGGACCGCGUUUAUCGGUCGUGUUUGGUUGCUCUUAGUGGUUUUGAGACCAGAGCCAAUUUAUUGUUACUCAGUAUAGUUGACUUUGAUAUUAUCUUGGGCAUGGACUGGUUGUCGCCCAAUUAUGCUAUUCUUGAUUGUCACGCCAAAACUAUGAUGCUGGUUAUGCUAGGUGUAUUGCGUGUUUAGUGGAGGGGUACUUUAAAUGACACUCCCAUUAGAGUUAUUUCUUUUCCUAAAGCUCAGCGUAUGGUUGAGAAGGGGUGUGACACGUAUUUAGCUUAUGUGAGAGAUAUAAGCAUUGAUACCCCUUUAGUCAAUUCAGUUCCAGUAGUACAGGAUUUUCCCGAUGUGUUUCCAGCUAAUCUUCCAGGCAUGCCGUCUGAUAGAGAUAUUGAUUUUGGCAUUGAUCUGUCGCCGGCCACUCACCCCAUUUCUAUCCCUAUAUAUCGUAUGGCUCCUCUUGAGUUGAAGGAUCAGUUAUAUGAAUUGCUUGAUAAGGUUUUAUUCAGCCCAGUGUACCACUUUGGGGUGUUCCUAUCUUUUUUGUGAAGAAAAAAGAUGGUUCUAUGCGUAUGUAUAUUGAUUAUCACUAGUUGAACAAGGUUACAGUGAAGAACUGUUAUCCUUUACCUCGUAUUGAUGAUCUGUUUGACCAGCUUUAGGGCGCACGAGUGUUUUCUAAGAUUGACUUGCGCUUAGGUUACCAUCAGUUGAAGAUUCGGGAGCCAGAUAUCCCGAAUACUGCUUUCAAGACUCGGUAUGGUCGUUACGAGUUCCUUGUUAUGUCAUUUGGGCUGACCAAUGCCUCAGUAGCCUUUAUGCAUUUGAUGCACAGUGUGUUCCGGUUGUAUCUUGACUCGUUUGUCAUUGUCUUUAUUGAUGAUAUUCUGGUGUAUUCCCGGAGUCGGGAAGAUCAUAAGCAGCACCUGAGGACUGUGCUUCAGACUUUGAGAGAGAAGAAGUUAUAUGAUAAAUUCUUGAAAUGUGAGUUUUGGUUGGAUUCAGUGGCAUUCUUAGGCCAUGGUAUCGAGUGAGGGUAUUCAGGUGGAUCCGAAGAAGAUAGAGGUCGUGCAGAGUUGGCCUAGACCAUCCUCAGCUACCGAGAUCCGUAGUUUCCUUGGUUUGGCAGGCUACUACCAUCGUUUUGUGGAUGGGUUUUCAUCGAUUGCAGCCCCUAUGACCAGGUUGACCCAGAAGGGUGCUCUGUUCCAGUGGACGGGGGAGUGUGAGGCGAGCUUUCAGAAGCUUAAUAUAGCUUUGACCACAGCCCCAAUUUUGAUACUGCCUACAAGUUUGGGGUCUUAUAUGGUCAAUUAUGACGCCUCGAGGGUUGGCCUCAUAGUGGUGUUGAUGCAGGACAAAAGGGUGAUUGCCUACGCGUCCAGACAGUUGAAGUACAUGAGAAGAACGACCAUGUUCAUGACCUUGAGUUAGCUGCCAUUGUUCACGCACUGAAGAUUUGGCAUCAUUAUUUAUACCGGGUUCCCUAUGAGAUUUAUACUAACCAUUGGAGCUUGCAGCACCUGUUCAAGCAAAAGGAUCUAAAUUUGCACCAGAGGCAAUGGUUAGAGUUGCUAAAGGACUAUGAUAUCACUAUUUUGUAUCACACGGGCAAGGCCAAUGUGGUGGCCGAUGCUUUGAGUCACCGGGCAGAGAGUUUGGGAGUUUGCCUUAUCUACUAGCAUCGGAGAGGCCUAUGGCGAUGGUUGUUCAGGCCUUAGCCAUCCAGUUUGUGAUAUUAGAUCUUUCGGAGCCUAGUCCGGUUCUAGCUUGCGUGGUUUCUCGGUCUUCCUUAUUUGAUCGUAUCACAGAGCGACAAUAUGAUGACCCUCAUUUGCUUGUCCUCAAGGACAAGGUUCAGCACGGUGAUGCCAGAGAUGUGACUAUUGGUGAUGAUGGGGUAUUAAGGAUGCAAGGUCAAAUUUGUGUGCCCAAUGUUGAUGGGCUGCGAGAGUUGAUUCUAGAGGAGGCCCAUAGUUCGCGGUAUUCCAUCCAUUCGAGUGCCGCAAAGAUGUAUCAGGAUUUGAGACAACACUAUUGGUGGAGGAGGAUGAAGAAAGAUAUAGUUGGAUUCGUAGCUCGGUGUCUCAACUAUCAGCAGGUGAAGUAUGAGCACCAGAUACCAGGUGGAUUACUUCAACAGAUAGAGAACUCGAAGUGGAAGUGGGAGAGGAUCACCAUGGACUUUGUAGUUGGGCUCCCACAGACUUUGAGAGAGUUCAAUGCUAUUUCGGUGAUUGUGGAUCGACUGACCAAGUCCGCUCAUUUCAUUCCUGUGUGCACUACUUAUUCCUCGGAGCGAUAGGCGAAUAUUUAUAUCGGAAGAUUGUUCGUCUGCAUGGUAUUCCAGUGUCCAUCAUUUCAGAUAGAGGUACGCAGUUCACAUCAAAGUUUUGGAGGGUCGUUCAGCAUGAGUUGGUUACUCGGGUGGAGUUGAGUACAACAUUUCACCCUCAGACGGACGGAUAGGCCGAGCGCACUAUUUAGAUUCUUUAGGAUAUGAUCCGUGUGUGUGUGACUGAAUUUGUAGGGUCUUGGGAUCAGUUCUUGCCAUUGGCGGAGUUCUCUUACAACAACAGUUAUCAUUCCAGCAUUCAGAUGGCACCGUAUGAGGCUUUAUAUGGUAGGGAGUGUAGAUCUCUGGUGGGUUGGUUUUAGCCGGGUAAGGCAAGACUAUUGGGCACGGGCUUAGUUCAGGAUGAUUUGAAGAAGGUUAAGGUGAUUCAGGAUAGACUACAUACAACCCAGUCUAGACAGAAGAGUUACGCGGACCGGAAUAUUCGUGAUGUUGUUCAGCUUCGGGUUUCGUCUAUGAAGGGCGUUAUGAGAUUUGGAAAGAAAAGAAAGUUGAGUCCGAGGUUUAUUGGCCCUUUUGAGAUAUUGAGCCAUGUUGGCGAGGUUGCUUAUGAGCUUGCCUUACCUCCCAGCUUGGCAGGAGUUCAUCCGAUAUUUCAUGUUUCGAUGCUCUGGAGGUAUCACGGUGAUCCGUUGCACGUGUUGGAUUUCAGUUCAGUCCAAUUGGACAAGGAUUUAUCUUAUGUUGAGGAGCCAGUGACAAUAUUGGACAGGCAGGUUAGAAAGCUGAGGUCAAAGAACAUUGCUGCAGUAAAGGUUCAGUGGCGGGGUCAGCCGGUCAAGGAGGCAACCUGGGAGACCAAGUAGGAUAUGAGCAGCCGUUACUCUCAUCUUUUCACUACUUUAGAUAUGUCUUUAUGCUCUUUCGAGGAUGAACGAAUGCUUAAGUGUAGGAGGAUGUGACGACUCGGCCGGUCGUCUUAAGAAUUUAUGCCUCGAUCCCCUUUUAACUGCCUUCCCCGAGUUUAUUUCUGCUAUUUUGAUUUGCCGGGAUGUACGGUUUUGAAUUUCGAAGAGUUUUGGAACAUUUAGUCCCUAAAUAAGAGCUUAAGUGUUGGAAAGUUGACCAUAGUCAGAACAGUAUAAAGAAGGCCUCGUAAUGGAAAUCUGAUGGUUCUGUUAGCCCCGUUAGGUGAAUUCGAGCUUAGGAGCGUGUUCAGAUUGUGUUUUGGAGGUCCGUAGCUAAUUUAGGUUUGAAAUGCCGAAAGUUGUUUUUUGAAGUUUCCGGUCCGAUAGUGAGAUUUUGAUUCGAGGGUUGGAAUGAAAUUCCGGAAGUUGGAGUAGCUCCGUAGUUUUGAAUGUGACGUGUUUGCAAAAUUUCAGGUCAUUCGGACGAGGUUUGCUAGACUUUUUGAUCAAAAGCGUAUUUUGAGAAAAUUUGGAGUUCUUAGGAUUAAAUCCUUGGUUAAUUCGAGGUUUCGACGUUGUUUUUAGUGUUUUAAGGAUUGGUAUAAGUUUGGGUAUUGUUUUGUGACUUGUUGGUGAAUUUGGUUGAGGUCCCAGAGGCCUCGGAAUGAAUUCGGAUGGUUGACGGAAAGAUUUUGGAGUUUAAGUUGCAGCUUCAGCUGCUGGUGCUAUCAUAACCGCACCUGCGGUUUGGGUUCCGCAGGUGCGGCGCUGCAGAUGCGGCUCAGCAAUCGCAGGAGCAGAGUUGUGGAGUAUCAGCAGGUUCCGCAGAUGCAGGUGGUUAACCGCAGAAGCGGUACCGCACUUGCGAACGGUAAAUCGCAGGUGCGACAAUUGGCCUUACGUGUAAGUCGCAGAUGCGACCCCUUGUUACGCAUAUGCGGGACCGUAAAAGCGGUCCCAAGGCCGCAGAUGCGUAAACUACUGGGCAGAUUAUUUUAAAAGGGGUUCCACGACUUUGGUAUUUAUUUCACCAUUUUUAUCACGACUUGGGAGCUUUCAGGACGAUUUGACUGAGGGAUUUCAAGGGAACUUCAUUGAGGUAAGGAAUUUCGACGUAAAACUAGUUCCUAUGCUAUUAUUUCACGGAUUAGAGCUAGAAAUCAUGGAAAUUAAGGGUGAAAAUUUGGGAAAACUAGGGCUUAGUAUUGGAGACCUUUGAAUAUUGUUUGAGGGAUCAUUUGAGGUCUGAUUUUGGUAAUUUUGGUAUACAUGAACUCGUGAGAGUGUGAGGAUUCUGAAAAUUUAAUUUUUACCCGAUUCCGAGAUGUGGGCCCGAGGGGCAUUUUGGUCAUUUUACAUAAUUUCGCGUAUUAGCUUAGAAUUUCUUUGUAGAAUCAGUUAUUUGAAGUUUUAGUUAUAUUAAGUAAUUGAAUUGAAUAGAUUUGGGUCAUUUGGAGUUGAGUACUCGUGGCAAGAUCGUGGUUUCGGAUUGAUUAUUGAGCCGGUUCGAGGUAAGUGGCUUGUCUAACCUUGUGUGAUGUGUACUUGAGAUAAUUAUUUAAAAUCCGAUUUUCUUUACGUAAUUUCAAUUGUGUUCCUUUUCUUGUUUCAUUUUACAUGCAAUUUAAACCUCUGUUAGCUUAGAAAGAGCAUGCGUAAUUGACUUAACUAUUUAUUUGCUUAAACUGCCUUAAUUGCAUUACGUGAAGCAUGUCAGGGUAGAAUUAACUGUUUACUUGGUACGGAAUCCGUAAUUGCAUUAAGCAUUAAAUUGAGUAUUCUUGUGUUGCUUCUGUGUGUUUUUAAAUUGGGACUACGGAACGACAUUUUGGGAGAUCCUCUAUACGAAAUUAUGAUCUGGACUGAGGUGCGGGAUACCAAGAGAUUUCGGGCAUGUAUAUUGAGGAUACCAAGAGAUCCUCGGGAUACCAAGAGAUCCUUUGUAUACAUAGAGGAUACUCAAAGAUCCUCGGGAUACCAAGAGAUCCCCCGAUUAUCAUCCUUGCUAUGAGUGGUAUUUCCUCGCGGUUUAUCUUAAUCUCUGUUUUCGUUACUGUACUCUUAUUAUCCUGUAUAGAUUCUUAUUGUAGAUUCUCAAUUGUAUUGCUUAUCUUAUCCUGUCAUCUUAUUUUUUAUUUAAUUAAUCUCAGUAGGGCCCUGAUAUUCCUCGUCACUAUCCGACUGAAGUUAGGCUUGUCACUUACUGAGUACCGUUGUGGAGUACUCAUGCCCCUUCUGUGCAUGUUUGUCAUGUGCAGAUCUAGGUACCGCUACUUCGGCCUGCAAUCCUUGAGGGAGGCGACUGCUUAGAGAUUUCGAGGUACAUCUGUCGCUUCCGCAGACCGAGAAGUCCCUUUCUAUUCCUGCUUUUAGUAUUUGGCCUUUCUGUAUUUUCCGCUCUUAUUAAACAUUCCAGAGUUAGAGCUAUGUAAUAUUUUUCUUAGCUUAUGAUUCGUGGGUUUCCGGGUCUUGGAUCUACGUAUUGGUAUUGAGAAUUAAACAUGGUGUAUGUCGAGCCGCACCAUUAAAACACUGUUAUUACUUUAGUUCUGUUUUAAACUAUUU
RNAcentral lists this long non-coding RNA (12303 nucleotides) under Nicotiana tabacum (common tobacco). RNAcentral describes it as "long non-coding RNA (NTAB_LNC013173)". Lineage: Eukaryota; Viridiplantae; Streptophyta; Magnoliopsida; Solanales; Solanaceae. The record is from RNAcentral.